This 301-nucleotide ribosomal RNA is filed under the name uncultured bacterium. Its description in RNAcentral is "partial 16S ribosomal RNA". It matches the Rfam family "Bacterial small subunit ribosomal RNA", at positions 509 to 809 of the family's 1533-position model. The record is from RNAcentral.
CAGUCGCCGCGGGAAUACGGAGGGAGCUAGCGUUAUUCGGAAUUACUGGGCGUAAAGCGCACGUAGGCGGCUUUGUAAGUUAGAGGUGAAAGCCUGGAGCUCAACUCCAGAAUUGCCUUUAAGACUGCAUCGCUUGAAUCCAGGAGAGGUGAGUGGAAUUCUGAGUGUAGAGGUGAAAUUCGUAGAUAUUCGGAAGAACACCAGUGGCGAAGGCGGCUCACUGGACUGGUAUUGACGCUGAGGUGCGAAAGCGUGGGGAGCAAACAGGAUUAGAUACCCGUGUAGUCCCUGUCUCUUAUAU